GGCGCUAGGGUUGGAGCCUGGUGAGUCUUGAGCCUUCAAGCAUGCCUCUUUAAUAACUAUGGCUGUAUGUAUAUUCCAUGGUCAUGCCAAUUUAGUGAUAGCAACUGACUUUUUUAAAAUUCUGAUACACAUGCCCACAUGUUAAUGAUCCAAUUGAAUUAUAGUACUCCUCGAGUCUCUUGCAUGCAAAGGCCAAAAAAAAAGAUCAUAAUGAAUCACAAUAGUUCCAAAGUCACUACUUAUCUCUAGUUAGUAUGAUUUUAAAAGAUCCUUCUUUUGGUUCAAAUGCCUAGGUGAAGUUUUAGUCACACUCAACCCUCUCUUAGAAAGUUAGAUCCAGAUGAAUCACAAUAAUUGUAAAGUUACUGCUUACUAUUUAGAAAAGGCAUUUCUCAAUGUUGGCAUUUCUCAAUCCAGAUGAUCAGUCUGUUUUUUCCUAUGUUGGUUUAGCCAAAGCAAAAGCACAAGCUAAUACAUUGGUGUGGGUGUGGCCAGUGACCAUGUUUGGCUGUAGAACUGAUGCUUAAGUUGUAAUGUCAAUAAAAUAAAUGUGGACAAUGAAGAAAGCAAGAGGGUAAGAUGAACGUCCUUUGAGGACUAAGGAGAUGGAGAGGUAUCCCUUUCCCGUAUUAAUUGUGUCCCAAGUAAGUUCUAUUUGGUAGAAUGGGGUCUGCUUAGAAGAAAAUAGAGCUAGAUGCCUUUUACUGUGCAUUAAAUGUUGUUAAUGGCUCUUCUUUUUAUCUUGUGUUGUGUGCCAAAGUUUCUUGGAGAAGCUUUCUAAUGGACUUCGCCAAUGUUAAAUGGCCUUUGUAUGCGAUUGCUGUGUCACAUGUUCCUAUUGGCCAGGUACUGUUAAUUUAAAAAGUCAAAUGGACAGAUAUGGCAAGCUCUGAUUGGCUAUUGCAAUUUGCAAUACUUCUCUAGAUCAGGAAGAAUGAUAAAAGAAAUAGUCUCCUAAUAUUUAGCAUCUGAUACCUUUUGAAUCUUAUUCUUUAUUUUAUUUUAUUUUGUUUGAAAGAAGGGACAAGAUAGUUGCAACUGGAAGAACUUCAGAACUGAUAAUAUUUUUUUAACUUUUUAAUGUGCGAUGAUGCUGUACUAGCUAUUAAGUUGCUCUUACCAGCAUAUCUUCUUCCCCUAUAAAUCUUGCAAAGCUUUGUACAUUUAGGUAUCAGUUGUGACGUGAGGAACACAUCAAAAAGCAUAUGGAGGAAGUGGCAAGCCAGACCAGAUGUGUAAGAUGACUGCUAACAACUAGCAACAAAAUCAUUUUUAAGUAGCAGAAAAUGUUUAUUGUCUUCUGAGGAGAACUGGGUGAUGUGAUUUGCAUUCAUAGUGUGCCUUAUAUUUAUAGAAUACAAGUAGAUGAAGUUUCUUACGAAUGUCUCUGUUCUUGCAAGUGUUCCCACUCAUUUUUCUAGAUUGAGACCAGCAGUAUAAAUCUAAUUGAGUGGAAAUUUAGUGCCCUUCUGAACAAUUUAUCCACUUUGUGUACAAAUUCCAUGCUUAAUUCAUCGAUGCUGAUGCUUGCAUAGUUCAUCAUAAAUGCAAUCAUUUCUCUAUUUUCAUGUAAAUGGAUAUAGUGAAAUUUUAAUCCUUUCAUAAACACAAUCUUCAGCUACGGUCGUCUGGAAGGGCUAGUGCAGACUCUGCAGCAACUUGCCAGAAACUGAAGAAAGAUCUCCAGGCAGUGUUCAAUGUUCUUCCCAAAGACAUGCAGCAGCUUCUGCUCAUGAACCCGGAAAGAGCAGCCCUUCUACAAGGAAUUCCAGAACCAACAAAACUUCCAGGCUAUCCAUCAUUAGAAAUUGGGGUUGCUCCUUCCACUUCACCCAGAUAGUAUGCAAAGCAUGGGUAUGAGCAUGUUGGACCUUGUGCAGUUCUUCUCACAUUGCUGAAGGAUGACAUAGCUUGUAACAAUUGUGUGUCCUUCAUUCAAUCACAGGAUUGGAGAUAAUUUCUCCACUUUGAGCAUGGUUCUUCCCCUUGAUGCAUGAGAAUCACAAUGGUAUAUGCCCUCCCCAAGAGCACUUGAGAUAACCUUUAUUAUUUUGCAGUCAUGCAAACAAAUGGGAUUGUUCCAAGCUUAUGGGAAAUUGGUCUUUGAAUAUCUAAUGAAAAAUGAAGACUGAUGUUGUUUUUGUUCUGAAUUUGUCUACAAGUUGUCAAUCAAUCUGUAUAAUCACUUGGGGCAGAAUUCCCACCUGUAGAUUUUAUACUUCCAACUUUUUUUAGUCCCCUGCACUGGCAGUGCUUGAUGUUUUUUGUCAAGAACAUUGCCAAAAGGAAAUAUUGGUCUUUCUUUUUCCCCCCUUUAUUUAUUUAUUUAUAGCAUUGGGGCAGGAGAUCAUUACUUAUGAGAUUUGAAUUCUAGAAACCACUCUUAGAUCAACACCAGACAUCCAAGUCCUGGUUAAAAAUAUCUUACUGCUAUUAAAGUAUGAACUGUUCUUUUAGUUAUGUUGAAAAAUUAGAUUCCCGCUGAUAAUGAAAGGAAGAUACAUAUUAU
This 2509-nucleotide unclassified non-coding RNA is filed under the name Hevea brasiliensis (rubber tree). Lineage: Eukaryota; Viridiplantae; Streptophyta; Magnoliopsida; Malpighiales; Euphorbiaceae. The record is from RNAcentral.